This 73-nucleotide transfer RNA is filed under the name Mycobacterium phage Bromden. RNAcentral's name for it is "tRNA-Ala". It matches the Rfam family "tRNA". Rfam says of the family: Transfer RNA (tRNA) molecules are approximately 80 nucleotides in length. Their secondary structure includes four short double-helical elements and three loops (D, anti-codon, and T loops). The record is from RNAcentral. Lineage: Duplodnaviria; Heunggongvirae; Uroviricota; Caudoviricetes; Vilmaviridae.
GGGGUUAUAGCUUAGUUGGUAAAGCACCGGUCUUGCACACCGGAGUCCGGGGUUCGAUUCCCCGUUUCUCCAC